This 253-nucleotide ribosomal RNA is filed under the name uncultured bacterium. RNAcentral describes it as "partial 16S ribosomal RNA". It matches the Rfam family "Bacterial small subunit ribosomal RNA", at positions 524 to 776 of the family's 1533-position model. The record is from RNAcentral.
UACGUAGGGUGCAAGCGUUGUCCGGAAUUAUUGGGCGUAAAGAGCUUGUAGGCGGUUUGUCGCGUCUGCUGUGAAAUUUCGGGGCUCAACCCCGAACUUGCAGUGGGUACGGGCAGACUAGAGUGUGGUAGGGGAGACUGGAAUUCCUGGUGUAGCGGUGAAAUGCGCAGAUAUCAGGAGGAACACCGAUGGCGAAGGCGGCAUCCUGGACCGAGAUUGACGCUGAGGCGCGAAAGCCAGGGGAGCAAACGGG